CACCCAAACCCCCGCGGCUCCACGCCUGCCCUAAUCGCCGCGACCGCCAAAGUGUCUGUUUUUCUUCGGCGACUGCGGCGUCUCCUCGGUGAACAACGGCUGCCUUCCUCUCCAUCGGGAAACAGCGACAGUUGGCGGUGGCGUCUUCCCCUCCCGCUGGUUCACUGACCUCAGAUUGUGAGUUUUAUCAGUCUCAGAUGUUCAAUGAUCUGAAAAUGCGUGCAUGUCAUGUAUGAGAAUUUACUUUGGGGAAAUAGCAAGCUACAAGUUGAAUAAUGUUGAUAAGAUAGACAGCAGGAGAAGUGCUACUUUUAACGAGAGCAAAGAGAAUUGGACAGUCUUUUCCAGAAAAAAAAUGCAUGGAGAAGAUAGAACAAGAGAUAGCAGAGAUGGUAAAUGGGUCACUGGUCAAGGAAAAUUAUAUUCUUUUGUCCAUAGAAUCAUGUAUACGUCUGACAAUUCCACAUCCGUUUUACUUAUAUAUAAAUCUAAGAUGAACACAAUAGAACAUAGUUUCUUUCGUUCGUUAAUCUUUUCUUUAUACAAAGGAAGACAUAGAUAGGUUGAUUACUAACUGUACAACUAAGGAAAUUGAUUCCAUACAAUUUUUUAUUCUAAUUCAUUUCCUGUAAUAUGGGCUGAUUUAAUAUUGAUUGAGUGGUCCAAAAUAGAGGAUAAAUUCCCUUAAUUAUGUGAUUAUAAAAUGCUUAAUUAUGGAAUUUUGUAUAUUCCCCCUCAAGCUAGUUCAAAAAUGUUAAUCAUUCUUAGGUUGUUAGUUAGAUCCACAUAAGAAAAUAUUUGAGGCUCAUUAGUAAAAAUAUUUGCUAGUUGCUUCUUUGUAGGAAUAUAAGAUAUGCAGACAAUUCCUGCUCUAAUUUUCUCCUUUAUGAAAUAUCAAUCUACUUCAACAUACUUUGUUCUUUCAUGGUGCAUUGGACUUCAACAUACUUUGAUGAAUUGUUUGCUUCAUCAUACCUCUUAGUUUUCUUACUAUGUUUACUGCAUUGCAGUUUCCAUUUCAAGAACAUCAGAAAAUUUCAACACAAAACCCCAAAUGAUACAAAGGACUCGACUCAAUCAUACAAAGGACUCGACUCAAUCUAAAGUACAAGUUGAGUAAACAACUACAAUUUGACUUGAUUUCGAAACCCAAAAAUAGACCCAAAACCUCAAUGUAUUUGGUUAGGUAUAACCUUACACCUUUAUGCCAGCACAGUGUGUUCUCCGCUGUAGUGCUGAAAGCAACUAUCUCCGCUACUUGAGACUUGUUCGUACCUCAAAACACACAGGCCUGCUUAUAUUUGAAUUGUCAAAUCUUGUAUUGGCUGGUUUAGUUGGUGAUUUUAAGGGGCCUUUUCCGGUAAAAACAUAAAGAGAUUUGAAUGCUCUUACUUUAACUACAGAUAUUUUCUUACACAGAGUUCAAUGAUGCAGAAGAUCCAUAUGGCUGAUCAUGAAUAGUUUGGACACCAUGGCUUUUGUUAUUAUUGUGGUUGUUUGCACUUGCUGGUUUUAUUGGCAAAUUCUCACUGAUCUAGGUUUUUUUUUAUUAAUGAUAUGUAGCUCAUGCUACAUAUAAUUUGUUUACUGUAGUUGAAGUUAUUUACAUGAGCAAUCUUUCUCAUAAAUUAAGUUCCUUUAUCAGCAUAGAACCAAAUAAACUAGUAGCAUUUCUUGAUUGAGGCAGUUUUCUUAUCUCUUUAUUCAUUUUUUCAGAAAAUUUAUUGCCUUUCUCUGGUCUUCCAGCUAUGUUGUUUUUUUAUGUCAAGUUGCUCAUCAUCAUCAACAAUGCCCUUUUUAGCAUGUUGAACCUCACAAAUUACCCUUGGUAAUUAAUUAAACAGUGUCUUAUCUACUCACCAGUCUUGCUAGACUUUUAACUAGAUCAUCUCUUUACAUUCUUGAUGAAAUGGACCAAUUACUCUGGAAGUGAUCAUUUGAAAUGUUUCAGAUUUUAGUUAUAGGACAUUAGUGAAUCUGAUGUUAGAGAAAACAUUAUGCAUCUUCCUGUUAUUCUGAAUUCUGUAGUACCAUGUGCAAGUCGUUGAUGUUCAACCUACAAGUAUAAACAUGAGUAUCGUCUGUAUACGGUCAACAUUGUAAAUGCAUAAGCCACUCAUAUGCAGCAUAUUUGAUGAAGAUUCAUUUGAUAUGGUUUUUAAAUUGCUACAGGAAUAUAGGAUGCUUGGUAGUGUCUAAACCCACCAACUACAAUAUAAAAAUAAGUGGAAGAUAGUGUCUGUGCGCUGGUGUUAUAUGAUGCCAUUAUUUCAGUGGUGGAGAAUUGCUCAGAUGUGAGCAUGAGAAUGAGUAACUAAUCAUAGGUACUCGUUAUCAACUCUCAAACACCAUUUAGAGACUUAUCUCUGAAAGACAUGGUGGAUUGGAACUGAAUGCAUGUGGAUUAACAUGAGUGGUAAAGGAAUGUUGUCUGUGACAGAUGAUUAGUAGAAUGUUUUCAACAUCGUUGAUUUGAGGUAGAAGAGGAAUUUGGACUUGGAGAGGGCAGAAAUAAGACUACUUAUCUUGUAUUUUUCUGCAAACAGUACGUGAUACUGCCUCAAAAGACAAUGUUUUUGGUGCAGAAGAGGCUCUUUUGCCUUCUCUCAUGUAACAAGUCCACCAUCCAUCUUUCCUCCUAUCAACUCUGCAGUCUGUUUAGCUUUUCCACUGCCAAAGAGCACAGUUCAAAUCAUAGAUCCAACUUUACAUUGGUCGACCCCCUUGAGUCAUGUGAACUUCCCUCAAAAGAGGCUGCAAAAAGGGCCAAGGAUCGCAUCUGUGAAAAAGAACUUUCAAGUUCAAGUCCUUCCGUUGAGUUCUUUAAGCAGAGCGGUUGGAGUAAUGCACAAGUCAUGAAGCUUAUGCAGAGGGAACCCAGGUUUUUGUUUGCUAAGGCAGAGACUGUCCUGAAGCCCAGGAUGAGAUCUUUGCAGGACAUGGGAUUUUCUGACACUGAAAUAGUUCAGCUGGUUUCAUCAAGUCCGAAUGUGCUCCUUCUACGUGACAUCCAACCGAGGAUCAACUUCUGGAGGUCACUUCUUGGUUCUAAUGAGAGGUUAAUUAAGGCCUGCAGGAGGAACAUGUUUCUCCUUACUUCUAGCUUGGCUCAAAAGAUUGAGCCCAAUAUAUCUCUCUUGAGGGAAUGUGGCAUCAGUGAGCAACGCAUCACGCAGAUGGUGGUGAGACUACCAGAGUUUAUUUUGUCGAACAGAAAAAUGUAUCAAGGAAGUUAUCAAACAUGUUGAGGAGUUGGGUGUGUCACGUGACUGUAAAAUGUUCCCUCAUGCACUAUUAGCAGUCAUGACCCUGAGCAGGUCCAGGUUUGAUGCUACCUUUGCAACCCUGAUGAGCUUUGGGUGGUCCCUACCAGAUUGGAUCGCUGCAUUCAGGAGUCAUCCAGCCAUUUGGAAUCUCUCAAAGAAGAACUUAUGUGAUAAGAUGACAUUCCUGAUGAAGGAAGCUGGUUGUGAGCUGACAUAUAUCAUUGGCCAUCCCGUGCUUCUUACAUUAAGCUUGGAGAAGAGGUUGAGACCUCGAUAUGAAGUUAUGAAUUUUCUUGAUCAGAAUAAAUUGCUGGAUAAAGGACAUAACCUGCUAUAUGUCGCAAAGCUAUCUGAAGAGAAGUUCAGAAACAAAUUCCUUUUCCUGCUACGCAAAGAGAAAUUUAUUGCUCAAUACGAUUCCUAUGUUGUUGCUGUGCAGGGAAAGCACCACGUCGAUGCGGAAAACUAGGAGUGCAAGUGCUUCCUUAAGACAAAGUGUCAAGCUAUUGCAUGCUGACUGCAAAUUAAUCAUUAUAUAUUUGUGACAAUUUAAGUUCUACAAGAGUUUCUUGGGAGUAUAACUUUCAUGUUGGUGAUUCUUCUUCUAUUUAUUUUUUCUGCAACAAGAGGUACUGAUUCUUUUUUGCUGAUGUCUCAGAAAUUGGUUUGGGGGAAAGUCGAUUACUUCAGAAAGGUGUAACCGAAAUAACAAGCUUUUGUGUUCUGUUUCUACCAUAUUUAGCUAAUUAUGUCAGCUGAUCGAUCAGUGUCAA
Molecule: RNA transcript, 4039 nt
Organism: Musa acuminata AAA Group (dessert banana)
Lineage: Eukaryota; Viridiplantae; Streptophyta; Magnoliopsida; Zingiberales; Musaceae
Exons: 2
Source: RefSeq, a predicted model, not a curated record